GCCAGUGUAGCUCAGUGGUUAGAGUGUUGAGCCAUGCACUGAAGGGUUAUGGGUUUGAUUCCUGGUCAGUGGCA
This 74-nucleotide transfer RNA is filed under the name Myotis lucifugus (little brown bat). It matches the Rfam family "tRNA". Rfam says of the family: Transfer RNA (tRNA) molecules are approximately 80 nucleotides in length. Lineage: Eukaryota; Metazoa; Chordata; Mammalia; Chiroptera; Vespertilionidae. The record is from Rfam by way of RNAcentral.